Long non-coding RNA from Amphiprion ocellaris (clown anemonefish), 1199 nucleotides. NCBI's taxonomy places the organism in Eukaryota, Metazoa, Chordata, Actinopteri, Pomacentridae. The record is from Ensembl.
UUUUUAAAAAAAAUAACAGUGUGAAGGCGUUUAAUAGAGGAAUGCCGUCCUGCUCUUGCACGUGUUAAACAGGCUUUUCUGCUCACAGCCGACAACAUGCCAGUAAACCAAAAUAAAUAGGUACAGCUGAUGACUUGUGCACACUGAGUGUACUGUAGACACCUUCUGGUUUUACCACAGCGUUCCUGGUGUCAUCUGCAGGAAUGAAGCUGAGCCACUCCUCUUACCUGAGCUGUGUGUGUGUGUGCUUGCAUGCCUUCAGGCCUGUGGGCGUGGGCUCAGGCCUCUCAGGUGUCUCAGCUCCUGAGUCAUCUGCCAAUCGCAGCAUAGCUGUUAUUCCUCCCUGUUGCCACUCAGCAGCUUUCUCUGUCUACCUCUCUUUUAAUUUGCUGCUGAAAGGCAAACAGGACAGAGGGAGAUACGAUUCUGACCUUAAUCUAUCUGGAAUGGACAGGAAGCACGAAGAAGAAGGAGGAAGACCCAGUACAGACUAGGACUUGUGACUUGUAUGCAUCUUUACACGGCACUAGAGACUGUAAAGCUGCCUGGCUUAGAGCGGAUGACUUGACUUAAAGCCUCACGCUGGCUGAUCAUAUGAUGUUGCUGUAAAGUACCUGGAGGGGGUAAGUCAUGCUUCACAGUCAAAAAAAGAUUCCUCCUGAUGAGAUGGGUUUUUUGUUCUUUGCCUAAAUUUCUGUCAGUGCCGUGUUCACUGGUGGAUGAUUGACUUAGCAGUUUGUAUCCUCUGUAAACAAAUUCUGUUAUAUUCACAUUUAUAUUUCUACUUUCACUUUACCCACUCAGGCUGUGUUCCUCUUUUAUUUUGCCUUCUCUAGUGUAUUUUUUGUACUUCUCCUUUGUGUUGUGCUAAUCAUCCUCCUGAAUCUGUGAUGUGCUGUAUGAACUUCCUAUGCACUGUAAGCGACUUCCCUUGAUAUCCAAGACUGCACCUGUGUCUAAGUACUAUUAUGUUUUAUUCUUGUUUUCUCUUUCAUUAGGCAGAGAAAUGUUUCUGUCUGCAAAUCCUUAGUUAUCUUAGCAUUUCUGCUACGGUUUGUAUCAUCCACAGUAGUGCUGAAGAUAGCAUCACACACACAGGGACAACUGUGUUGUUAGGUGACACACUUAAGAUUUUAUCAAGGAUCAGUGAGAGACUGAAAUCACAAUUGUGCAAUGUUCACAAGGUCUUAAAUACUGUG